AGUGAACGCUGGCGGUAGGCCUAACACAUGCAAGUCGAACGGCAGCACAGUAAGGGCUUGCUCUUACGGGUGGCGAGUGGAGGACGGGUGAGGAAUACAUCGGAAUCUACUUUUUCGUGGGGGAUAACGUAGGGAAACUUACGCUAAUACCGCAUACGACAUACGGGUGAAAGCAGGGGAUCUUCGGACCUUGCGCGAUUGAAUGAGCCGAUGUCGGAUUAGCUAGUUGGCGGGGUAAAGGCCCACCAAGGCGACGAUCCGUAGCUGGUCUGAGAGGAUGAUCAGCCACACUGGAACUGAGACACGGUCCAGACUCCUACGGGAGGCAGCAGUGGGGAAUAUUGGACAAAGGGCGCAAGCCUGAUCCAGCCAUACCGCGUGGGUGAAGAAGGCCUUCGGGUUGUAAAGCCCUUUUGUUGGGAAAGAAAAGCAGCAGGUUAAUACCCCGCUGUUCUGACGGUACCCAAAGAAUAAGCACCGGCUAACUUCGUG
This 492-nucleotide ribosomal RNA is filed under the name uncultured bacterium. RNAcentral describes it as "partial 16S ribosomal RNA". It matches the Rfam family "Bacterial small subunit ribosomal RNA", at positions 29 to 507 of the family's 1533-position model. The record is from RNAcentral.